This 253-nucleotide ribosomal RNA is filed under the name uncultured bacterium. Its description in RNAcentral is "partial 16S ribosomal RNA". It matches the Rfam family "Bacterial small subunit ribosomal RNA", at positions 524 to 776 of the family's 1533-position model. The record is from RNAcentral.
UACGUAGGCAGCGAGCGUUGUUCGGAGUUACUGGGCGUAAAGCGUGCGUAGGCGGUGUUCCAAGUCUGUUGUGAAAUCUCCCGGCUUAACCGGGAGGGUGCGGCGGAAACUGGGAUGCUGGAGUGCGGGAGAGGUAAGCGGAAUUCCCGGUGUAGCGGUGAAAUGCGUAGAUAUCUGGAGGAAUACCGGUGGCGAAGGCGGCAUCCUGGACCGGCAUUGACGCUGAACAGCGAAAGCUAGGGGAGCAAACGGG